This 273-nucleotide ribosomal RNA is filed under the name uncultured bacterium. RNAcentral describes it as "partial 16S ribosomal RNA". It matches the Rfam family "Bacterial small subunit ribosomal RNA", at positions 524 to 796 of the family's 1533-position model. The record is from RNAcentral.
UACGGAGUGUGCGAGCGUUACUCGGAAUCACUGGGCAUAAAGCGCACGUAGGCGGAAUUGCGUGUCGGUGGUGAAAUCCCCCAGCUCAACUGGGGAACUGCUGCCGAAACUGCUUUUCUUGAGGACGAGAGGGGAGAGUGGAACUUCUGGUGGAGCGGUGAAAUGCGUAGAUAUCAGAAGGAACACCGGUGGCGAAAGCGACUCUCUGGCUCGUAUCUGACGCUGAGGUGCGAAAGCUUGGGUAGCAAACAGGAUUAGAAACCCCAGUAGUCC